UUUUUGGUUCACUCAAGGAUUGUCCUGCAGAUGGCUUCCCUUUUUAACUUAGCAGCACGGCAGCAGCAUAGGUAAACCUGAUUACUUAGGCAUGCUUUUGGUUUGCAGGACCAUACCUGUUAAUGACCCAGACCUCUCAGUUCAGCAUGGGCAAACUUUCCCUCUGUAUUCCCGGCUGUACUGACGAGCCCAACAUUGAAAAUUGGUGAAAGCAACCCUCAGUGCUGCAUUGAAGAGGCAUUGCCAUUUGCAAUGUAACAAGGUUUCGUGGCCAUUCUGCUGCAACCAGAAAGCGUAGAACAUCACUGGAGAAGCGCUUCUACUGCUGCCACCACUGUGGCUA
Dermacentor andersoni is the source of this 343-nucleotide non-coding RNA. The record is from RefSeq and is a predicted model, not a curated record. Lineage: Eukaryota; Metazoa; Arthropoda; Arachnida; Ixodida; Ixodidae.